GACGAACGCUGGCGGCGUGCCUAAUACAUGCAAGUAGAACGCACAGUCUAUACCGUAGCUUGCUACACCAUAGACUGUGAGUUGCGAACGGGUGAUUAACGCGUAGGUAACCUGCCUGGUAGCGGGUGAUAACUCUGGGAAACGUUAGCUAAUACAUCUUAAUAUUGAUUAUUGCAUGAUAAUUGAUUGAAAUAUUCUAUUGCAUCGCUACCUGCUCGACCUGCGUCGUAUUAGCUAGUAGGUGAGGUAACGGCUGACCUAGGGGACGAUACAUCGCCGACCUGGGAGGGUGAUCGGCCACACUGGGACUGAGACACCGCCCAGACUUCUACGGGAGGCAGCAGUAAGGAAUCUUCGGCAAUGGACGAAAGUCUUACCGAGCAACGCCGCGUGAGUGAAGAAGGUUUUCGGAUCGUAAAGCUCUGUUGUAAGAGAAGAACGGGUGUUAGAGUGGAAAGUGCACACUGUGACGGUAUCUUACCAGAAAGGGACGGCUAACUACGUG
Molecule: ribosomal RNA, 505 nt
Filed under: uncultured bacterium
Lineage: Bacteria
Description: partial 16S ribosomal RNA
Rfam family: Bacterial small subunit ribosomal RNA
Source: RNAcentral